GUUCGGCGUGGGAGUUUCCACAAGGACUGGUGUGGUCCCAGCUUUGGUGUUCUGCAUGCAGCACUGCAUUAUCUCCUCCAAAAUGCAUGCAUGUGGCAAGUGAACGCUGGGAAAAUGCUAUGGCAUUUUACCUUUGCAUGUUUAAGACUUCAGUCUAAAACUACAAUUUAUUUUCCAAACAAAUACUCUAAGAUAAGAACUACCCUGAGGUGGUCUAGCUUAGCUUGCCAAUUUGGGUAGUCAUUUCAACAGUUAAAAAAAAGUUUCAAUUUUUUUCUUUAGAGUCCCCUCUCCUUGGCAAGACAUUGACAAAAGACAGGGUACUGGGAGAAACCUGCUCUCUGAACCAGCAGAGUAGGCUUUAAAGAGCCGUUCCUUUAUGAAAUAUUCCAUUAAAAUUAAAUAACUUGUCUCUUUUCAUGUUCACUAGUGCUAGAGGCACAGCAAUAUUCAAGUAAUAAUAAUUUUGGUGGGAACAGGAAAUUUUGAGCAUGAGAGAAAUGUCUAAUUUAUAGCUGAAAGUUUAUUACAUUUUCAGUAAUGCUCAGGUCCAUAAAGCUGAGACAGAGCUGGUCAGAGGGCAUGACAGAAAGUAGUUACCGCUGGAAAGUCCUCAGCCGUUGAGCAUCUAUUGUCACCAGGGUAAGAAAACUGUCUCACAUCUGGGUGACUUCUUGUACAGGUUAGGAAAUAUUUUCCCCUUUUCAUUUGCUGAUCCAAAUCAGCAAAACAAGUUAACAUCUUUUUGUGUCCAGGGAUAUACUUAAGAGCUUUAAUUUUAAACAGGGGCCUAUUUUCCCUUGGAGUUGAGUUUUAAAAGUUUUAAUGAGCAGAAUGGACAACAAAUUAGGAAUGCAUCCCAGAGGAGUACCUCGCAUGAUUGCUGCCUUCAUUUAGCCAACUGACUGAGGAAUGACAGGAGUAUGUAAAAUUCAGAAACAUUCUAUGCCCUAAACAGAGAGGAAAAAUAGAUUUGAUGCCAAAGCUUUAGGUUAUGUUCAUCUUUGUCUCAUAUUCAGAUUGUUUUUCUGACAUUUCUCCUUGUCACUUUGUGCUCUUUUAAUUUCUUGAGAGUUUAGAGUUUACAUAGGUGUCUGCUGUAUCUUGGUUCAGUAUGUAAAUCCUGCAGCAUGAUGAAAUUGCUCAUGACUGGGUAACUCUUUGGAUAACAAUGCCUAGAGGAAAGUGGCAGAAUAUCAUAAGAAGAUACAUUCUGAUGAUUACUAGUACACAAUGUGUGAUCCUUGCCACUGAUGUGAAUAUGGUUUUGUUGGUCACUCCUAAUCUCUCAGGAUCCUGCUGUUUUCCCACGUGCCAAUGAAGACAAUGUCUCACAGAGCUUUCCCUGUGAAAGAAAUGUCAGUCAAUGCAACCGAGACGCAGUCCCAAAUGCCUCAUGUGAUCCAGUUCUAAUAAUAAGCUACCAGGAAAGAGGGGACAGCACAGCUUGAGGUCUCUCUCCUGCAUGGUUCAUCUGUCUUGUCACAUCAGUUUUUUGGGACCUCGUCAGAGCUACAUCCACAUACACAGGACUCCCUUUUCCUGCCACCCACCGUGCAGAUGACCAGCACGUGGCAGGACACCAUGUAGUGAUUUGUCCACCACUGAGCUUUGUGGAGCUGACCUGUUAUGUGUGGCUGCUGAUUCGCAUCAAAAUGUAACCAACAAUA
This is a long non-coding RNA of Poecile atricapillus (Black-capped chickadee), 1670 nucleotides long. RefSeq lists it as uncharacterized. NCBI's taxonomy places the organism in Eukaryota, Metazoa, Chordata, Aves, Passeriformes, Paridae. The record is from RefSeq and is a predicted model, not a curated record. The transcript is spliced from 4 exons.